CCCAGAUCGUUUACCGUGAAAAAAUUAGAGUGUUCAAAGCAGGCAGAUCCAAUUUUCUGCCACCGAAUACAUUAGCAUGGGAUAAUGGAAUAGGACCCUGUCCUCCUAUUUUCAGUUGGUUUUGGCAGCGCGAGGACUAGGGUAAUGAUUAAUAGGGAUAGUUGGGGGCAUUAAUAUUUAAUUGUCAGAGGUGAAAUUCUUGGAUUUAUGAAAGAUUAACUUCUGCGCAACCCUCGACAGGGGAAUGUUUUCAUUAAUCAAGAACGAAAGUUAGGGGAUCGAAGACGAUCAGAUACCGUCGUAGUUUUAACCAUUAACGAUGCCGACCAGCGAUUAGGAGACGUUGAAUACAAAACACCACCAUCGGUUGCGGUCGUCCUUGGCGUCUCGGUUUCGGCCGGGGCGCGGGGAUGGCUUAGCCCGGUGGCACCGGUGAAUGACUCCCUAGCAGCUUGUGAGAA
RNAcentral lists this ribosomal RNA (461 nucleotides) under Acanthamoeba culbertsoni. RNAcentral describes it as "SSU rRNA". It matches the Rfam family "Eukaryotic small subunit ribosomal RNA", at positions 742 to 1096 of the family's 1831-position model. Lineage: Eukaryota; Discosea; Longamoebia; Acanthamoebidae. The record is from RNAcentral.